UACGUAGGGUGCGAGCGUUAAUCGGAAUUACUGGGCGUAAAGCGUGCGCAGGCGGUUCGUUGUGUCUGGUGUGAAAGCCCCGGGCUCAACUUGGGAACGGCAUUGGAAACUGGCGAGCUAGAGUGUGGCAGAGGGGGGUGGAAUUCCGCGUGUAGCAGUGAAAUGCGUAGAUAUGCGGAGGAACACCGAUGGCGAAGGCAAUCCCCUGGGCCUGCACUGACGCUCAUGCACGAAAGCGUGGGGAGCAAACAGG
Molecule: ribosomal RNA, 253 nt
Filed under: uncultured bacterium
Lineage: Bacteria
Description: partial 16S ribosomal RNA
Rfam family: Bacterial small subunit ribosomal RNA
Source: RNAcentral